GAUGAAGAACGUAGCAAAAUGCGAUAAGUAAUGUGAAUUGCAGAAUUCAGUGAAUCAUCGAAUCUUUGAACGCACAUUGCGCCCGCUGGUAUUCCGGCGGGCAUGCCUGUUCGAGCGUCAUUUCAACCCUCAAACCCCCCGGGUUUGGUGUUGGGGAUCGGCUCUGCCUCACGGCGGUGCCGCCCCCGAAAUACAUUGGCGGUCUCGCUGCAGCCUCCAUUGCGUAGUAGCUAACACCUCGCAACUGGAACGCGGCGCGGCCAUGCCGUAAAACCCCAACUUCUGAAUGUUGACCUCGGAUCAGGUAGGAAUACCCGCUGAACUUAAGCAUAUCAAUAAGCGGGGA
This 346-nucleotide unclassified non-coding RNA is filed under the name soil metagenome. Its description in RNAcentral is "partial contains 5.8S ribosomal RNA, internal transcribed spacer 2, and large subunit ribosomal RNA". The stretch from base 1 to 120 matches the Rfam family "5.8S ribosomal RNA", at positions 35 to 154 of the family's 154-position model. The record is from RNAcentral.